GGGUGCGGGACCGCAUAGGGUGGAGUACGCGUGCGCAGCGGGCGGCGCUUGCGCAAUGCGGCGGCAGCAGGGGGCGGUGGCGCUCGCCCCGAGUCGCCUGAGGUUUCAUUCCAAAGAAACUGUGUCCCCAUUUCUGUAUGAAUGUUCCAAGUUUAUUUCCUUUUAUGUUCUUACGAACACCAUCGUGGAGACCAUGGAUUCUGAAGAAGCAGCAAUUUUCUCUGCUCAGAGUGCCCUUACUUCAGGCAGCAGGAAAGAAGAACUCUUUCAAUCUCAUUGGACUAACUGAGGCAGAAUUAAAAGAAACAUUUGUAAGAGGUGAUGGCCCAGGAGGUCAAGCCACAAAUAAGACAAACAACUGUGUUGUCUUGAAGCAUAUUCCAUCUGGGAUUGUAGUGAAGUGUCAUCAAACAAGAUCAGUGGAGCAGAACCGAAAGAUAGCCAGAAAAAUCCUGCAGGAAAAAGUUGACCUUUUCUACAAAGGUGAAGACAGUGAUGUUUUUAAAGAGAAUAAAGCGUCAGAGAAGAAGAAGCAGGAGAAAAAAAGAAGAGCAAAGGAAAACCUAGAAAGGAAAAAGCAUUUUAAAGAGAUGCAACAAUUGGAUAAGAAAUAAACGUGAAAUACUGACUUGCCCUAGUAGGGUAAGGGAAACGUUUGUCAUUACACCUAAACACAGUUUUCAAACUAGCAGAUGAUGUAGGGCUUCAUAAGCAGAACUGAAAUACUGAGUAUUGACCUGCUAUUACUGUAAAACUGACGUGAUAAAAGCAGUCAUGUAUUCCUAAUUCUGUCUGCCAUCGUCUCAUUAAUGACUUUUAGCAAUCAGUUUUUCUGCCAAGUUCCGAAGAUGAUGAACCAAUCCUUGUUAAAAAGGAACUAUAACCUCUCCACCAUUGUUAAUGGAGACAAAAAAAUUCAAUACAUCUACUGCCCAGCUGAUACCUUAUGAUGCUUUGUAGGAGUUCCAAUACAUACAGAGAACAGCCCUAAAGGGUUAUAACUUUCCAUCCUUACUCAACCAAUGCCUCUACUGACACAAAUCCUUUAUAAACAGUGACCAGGUUCAGAUACUGGUUCUGAUGGUGUAAACAGACAUGCUGAUGAAAGAGACACCAGUUGCUGGUUGCCUCCUUCAGAUCUGUUAGCUGAACAAAUGCUCUGUCCUACUCCAUUAUGAAUGAAGUUUAAACAGAAGCUUUACAAAUCUUAUCUGGAGUGGUGAAGAGCACUGGGGUGGAAGGCACUCCUGCAAGUGAGGGUUGAUCCGUCAUGUUCUUCAGUUCAAAGGUAAAAUUGAGUCAUUACAGAUAAAGAACACCACGUGUUGGAAGCUGCCUCCCAAGGCAACAGAAUCCAAUUCAUCCAAGCUGUGAACACCCUCACUGGCUGCCACCAAGUUUUGGCCUUCAACAGUGAAGGGAGGGUGCUUCAAGAACCAAAGCCAUAGUAAAUAUUUUGAAAGCAAUGGAGACUACUAGUAACUAUACCACCUUCUUACAGAGAUCAACUGCAUCCAGACUGUGCCAUGGAUGGAAACUCACUAGCAAUCUGCAGGCCCAUUCCCUUGUCCGUUCCUGAACUUGAGCCUCCUGCAUGAAGGUUAUAUUUUUAUCUGUUGAGAGUUCUUGUUCAUGGAGUAUGAAUCCGAUCAAAGUGACUGUACAUAGUUUUAAUACAAACUGUUAAUGAAAAUAAGCUUUAUUACGUCAAGUAAUAAAUACAUACAAAGAUGCAAAUAACAGUUUUAGUAAUUUAUCCAGAAUUCUCUUUUUUUGGCAAACUUUAAACUGAAAUCUCCAGCCUUAAUGUAGAACUUAGCUUUCCAGGACCUUGUUAUUAUUCAAUAGGUUUCCCUGUUUUCCAUAUAACUCAUGCACUUUAAGUGGACUUCAAAGCACUAGCAGUCAUGCAAUUGUUUAUGCAAAACAAACAAAAAAGGAAAAAAAAGAGAAGGGGAAGGUUAUUUCUAAGCAGGGUCUAUGCUGUAUGACAAAUUGUGACUUAGCAGACUACUAGGUACAGCAUGCUAUUCUGCAUUUAUUAAAAAAAAUCCUUAGAGCUUAUGUCAAACUUUGAAAGAUUGACAGUUUGGGGUUAAGUGAAUAUAGUCAAAGGAAAAAAAAACAGAAUGAGACUGUGGCUGGAUAAGAAGAGAACUGAAAUAUAGCCUGGGAGAGAAAGAGCAUUCCUCUGCAUGCAGUUCAGUUUUCUUGUUUUAGAAACAUUUUAGGGAGUUUUAAUGUCUUUACAAAAUGCAAACUCUCAGUAAGUUGAAAAACCCUUGUUUUCUCAUUCUUAACUAUACAUUUUUGUAAGGGCAAAACAAGAAAGGUAAAACAUUCAAAAUAAAGGAAUUUGUCUGAAUGUUUCAAGAGUCAAAAGGA
Harpia harpyja (harpy eagle) is the source of this 2385-nucleotide RNA transcript. It is a transcript of the gene named mitochondrial translation release factor in rescue, with no coding region annotated. The record is from RefSeq and is a predicted model, not a curated record. The transcript is spliced from 4 exons. NCBI's taxonomy places the organism in Eukaryota, Metazoa, Chordata, Aves, Accipitriformes, Accipitridae.